AGGACGAACGCUGGCGGCGUGCUUAACACAUGCAAGUCGAACGGAAAGUGCCCUUUCGGGGGUGACUCGAGUGGCGAACGGGUGAGUAACACGUGGGUGAUCUGCCCUGCACUUUGGGAUAAGCCUGGGAAACUGGGUCUAAUACCGAAUACACCCUGCUGGUCGCAUGGCCUGGUGGGGGAAAGCUUUUGCGGUGUGGGAUGGGCCCGCGGCCUAUCAGCUUGUUGGUGGGGUGAUGGCCUACCAAGGCGACGACGGGUAGCCGGGCCUGAGAGGGUGUCCGGCCACACUGGGACUGAGAUACGGCCCAGACUCCUACGGGAGGCAGCAGGUGGGGAAUAUUGCACAAUGGGCGCAAGCCUGAUGCAGCGACGCCGCGGUGGGAUGGACGGUCCGUUCGGGUUAGUAAACCUCUUUCAGUACAGACGAAGCGCAAGUCGACGGUAUGUACAGGAAGAAGCGAACCCGGACCAACCGUACGUACG
RNAcentral lists this ribosomal RNA (485 nucleotides) under uncultured soil bacterium. Its description in RNAcentral is "bacterial SSU rRNA". It matches the Rfam family "Bacterial small subunit ribosomal RNA", at positions 26 to 527 of the family's 1533-position model. The record is from RNAcentral.